RNAcentral lists this ribosomal RNA (497 nucleotides) under uncultured bacterium. RNAcentral's name for it is "partial 16S ribosomal RNA". It matches the Rfam family "Bacterial small subunit ribosomal RNA", at positions 28 to 507 of the family's 1533-position model. The record is from RNAcentral.
GAUGAACGCUGGCGGCGUGCCUAAUACAUGCAAGUCGAGCGAACAGACGAGGAGCUUGCUCCUCUGACGUUAGCGGCGGACGGGUGAGUAACACGUGGAUAACCUACCUAUAAGACUGGGAUAACUUCGGGAAACCGGAGCUAAUACCGGAUAAUAUAUUGAACCGCAUGGUUCAAUAGUGAAAGACGGUUUUGCUGUCACUUAUAGAUGGAUCCGCGCCGCAUUAGCUAGUUGGUAAGGUAACGGCUUACCAAGGCAACGAUGCGUAGCCGACCUGAGAGAGUGAUCGGCCACAUGGGAACUGAGACACGGACCAGACUCCUACGAGAGGCAGCAGUAGGGAAUCUUCCGCAAUGGGCGAAAGCCUGACGGAGCAACGCCGCGUGAGUGAUGAAGGUCUUCGGAUCGUAAAACUCUGUUAUUAGGGAAGAACAAAUGUGUAAGUAACUAUGCACGUCUUGACGGUACCUAAUCAGAAAGCCACGGCUAACUACGUG